RNAcentral lists this ribosomal RNA (363 nucleotides) under uncultured microorganism. RNAcentral's name for it is "bacterial SSU rRNA". It matches the Rfam family "Bacterial small subunit ribosomal RNA", at positions 9 to 361 of the family's 1533-position model. The record is from RNAcentral.
GAGUUUGAUCUUGGCUCAGGAUGAACGCUGGCGGCGUGCCUAAUACAUGCAAGUCGAGCGAACAGACGGGGAGCUUGCUCCCCUGACGUUAGCGGCGGACGGGUGAGUAACACGUGGGUAACCUACCUAUAAGACUGGAAUAACUCCGGGAAACCGGGGCUAAUGCCGGAUAACAUGUUGGACCGCAUGGUCCUACAGUGAAAGACGGUCUUGCUGUCACUUAUAGGUGGACCCGCGCCGUAUUAGCUAGUUGGUAAGGUAACGGCUUACCAAGGCAACGAUACGUAGCCGACCUGAGAGGGUGAUCGGCCACACUGGAACUGAGACACGGUCCAGACUCCUACGGAGGGCAGCAGUAGGGAA